UACGGAGGAUCCGAGCGUUAUCCGGAUUUAUUGGGUUUAAAGGGUGCGCAGGCGGGGGAUUAAGUCGGCGGUGAAAUUUUGCAGCUCGACUGUAAAAGUGCCAUCGAUACUGGUUUUCUUGAGUGUGGAUGAAGUAGGCGGAAUUUGUGGUGUAGCGGUGAAAUGCAUAGAUAUCACGAGGAACUCCGAUUGCGCAGGCAGCUUACUAGGCCAUAACUGACGCUCAGGCACGAAGGCGUGGGGAUCAAACAGGAUUAGAUA
This 261-nucleotide ribosomal RNA is filed under the name uncultured prokaryote. RNAcentral describes it as "partial 16S ribosomal RNA". It matches the Rfam family "Bacterial small subunit ribosomal RNA", at positions 524 to 784 of the family's 1533-position model. The record is from RNAcentral.